This 617-nucleotide ribosomal RNA is filed under the name Halorubrum sp. I.B2. RNAcentral's name for it is "bacterial SSU rRNA". It matches the Rfam family "Archaeal small subunit ribosomal RNA", at positions 43 to 661 of the family's 1478-position model. The record is from RNAcentral. RNAcentral also lists the same sequence under 1 other name. Lineage: Archaea; Methanobacteriati; Methanobacteriota; Halobacteria; Halobacteriales; Haloferacaceae.
GAUUAGCCAUGCUAGUCGCACGAGUUCAGACUCGUGGCGAAUAGCUCAGUAACACGUGGCCAAACUACCCUUCGGAACACAAUACCCUCGGGAAACUGAGGCUAAUAGUGUAUACCAUACCACCACUGGAAUGAGUGGUAUGCCAAACGCUCCGGCGCCGAAGGAUGUGGCUGCGGCCGAUUAGGUAGACGGUGGGGUAACGGCCCACCGUGCCAAUAAUCGGUAUGGGUCAUGAGAGUGAGAACCCAGAGACGGAAUCUGAGACAAGAUUCCGGGCCCUACGGGGCGCAGCAGGCGCGAAACCUUUACACUGCACGACAGUGCGAUAGGGGGAUCCCAAGUGCACAGGCAUAGCGCCUGUGCUUUUCGGUACCCUAAGGCGGUACCAGAAUAAGGGCUGGGCAAGACCGGUGCCAGCCGCCGCGGUAAUACCGGCAGCCCAAGUGAUGGCCGAUCUUAUUGGGCCUAAAGCGUCCGUAGCUGGCCGCGCAAGUCCAUCGGGAAAUCCACCUGCUCAACAGGUGGGCGCCCGGUAGAAACUGCGUGGCUUGGGACCGGAAGGCGCGACGGGUACGUCCGGGGUAGGAGUGAAAUCCCGUAAUCCUGGACGGACCGCC